Long non-coding RNA from Hyla sarda, 629 nucleotides. RefSeq lists it as uncharacterized. The record is from RefSeq and is a predicted model, not a curated record. The transcript has 2 exons. NCBI's taxonomy places the organism in Eukaryota, Metazoa, Chordata, Amphibia, Anura, Hylidae.
UUUAGAGGGCAAAAGUCAAUCUGGUAGGGAAUCAAAUGUUGUAAUCAUGACCAAUGCCCCUACCUUAGCACAAAUCCAAGAUAUAGUCCCGACAUUGAGACAGAAAAUAGGUGAAGCAAACUGACUGGCACAGGGAUCGAUGCCUGGAAACUGAAGAGUUGUGACAGUCAUGCCUCCUCUACACCGAAACCAGAGUUCGGCACUUGAACAGGGUCAGGCUAAACCCAAACCGAUAUCUGCUUGUAGCAUGCGGCCUAACCUCAUUGCAAGAGUGAAACACUAUGACCUGUCGGCCCAAUGAAUCCCAUCAUAUUCCUGCUAAUGAGUGGCAAAAUAGAAACUGUUAGCUAAAUAGGCACAACCAUCGACACCCGAUCGACCUUGGCGGUAACCGCCUUAUUGCCUGAAGAUCAACAAUAUCCGACUACCUUACCUGAAACUAAAUCAAUCCCAAUGCCCCAUUCCUAACUCCACUAGCCUCAUGAGUGGUGUCCCAUUACGAUAAACCCGCCCUAUUGCCAUUAUGUCUGACAUUACCAUUAUUGGUGAAUGCCGAAACUUCUGCUGAACCUAGUCGACGUAUAUAUCACCCUAUACAGUAACCCCCCCGAGCUGCGAUGGCCCCGACA